RNAcentral lists this ribosomal RNA (1298 nucleotides) under metagenome. Its description in RNAcentral is "bacterial LSU rRNA". It matches the Rfam family "Bacterial large subunit ribosomal RNA", at positions 1636 to 2925 of the family's 2925-position model. The record is from RNAcentral.
ACACGACCGUACCGCAAACCGACACUGGUGCGCGAGAUGAGUAUUCUAAGGCGCUUGAGAGAACUCAGGAGAAGGAACUCGGCAAAUUGACACCGUAACUUCGGAAGAAGGUGUGCCUUUAGUAGGUGAAGUCCCUCGCGGAUGGAGCCCAAUGAGGUUGCAAAAAAUCGGUGGCUGCGACUGUUAUUAAAAACACAGCACUCUGCAAACACGAAAGUGGACGUAUAGGGUGUGACGCCUGCCCGGUGCUGGAAGAUUAAAUGAUGGGGUGCAAGCUCUUGAUUGAAGUCCCAGUAAACGGCGGCCGUAACAAUAACGGUCCUAAGGUAGCGAAAUUCCUUGUCGGGUAAGUUCCGACCUGCACGAAUGGCGUAACGAUGGCCACACUGUCUCCUCCUGAGACUCAGCGAAGUUGAAAUGUUUGUGAUGAUGCAAUCUCCCCGCGGAAAGACGGAAAGACCCCAUGAACCUUUACUGUAGCUUUGUAUUGGACUUUGAACAGAUCUGUGUAGGAUAGGUGGGAGGCUUUGAAGCAGGGUCGCUAGAUCUUGUGGACCAACGUUGAAAUACCACCCUGGUGUGUUUGAGGUUCUAACCUAGGCCCGUAAUCCGGGUUGGGGACAGUGCAUGGUAGGCAGUUUGACUGGGGCGGUCUCCUCCCAAAGUGUAACGGAGGAGUUCGAAGGUACGCUAGUUACGGUCGGACAUCGUGACGAUAGUGCAAUGGCAUAAGCGUGCUUAACUGCGAGACUGACAAGUCGAGCAGAUGCGAAAGCAGGACAUAGUGAUCCGGUGGUUCUGUAUGGAAGGGCCAUCGCUCAACGGAUAAAAGGUACUCUGGGGAUAACAGGCUGAUACCGCCCAAGAGUUCAUAUCGACGGCGGUGUUUGGCACCUCGAUGUCGGCUCAUCUCAUCCUGGGGCUGUAGCCGGUCCCAAGGGUAUGGCUGUUCGCCAUCUAAAGAGGUACGUGAGCUGGGUUUAAAACGUCGUGAGACAGUUUGGUCCCUAUCUUCCGUGGGCGCUGCAGAUUUGAGGAAGCCUGCUCCUAGUACGAGAGGACCGGAGUGGACGCACCUCUGGUGUAUCGGUUGUCACGCCAGUGGCAUUGCCGAGUAGCUAUGUGCGGAAGAGAUAACCGCUGAAAGCAUCUAAGCGGGAAACUCGUUUCAAGAUGAGAUCUGCCGGGGCCUUGAGCCCCCUGAAGAGUCGUUCAAGACCAGGACGUUGAUAGGUCGGGUGUGGAAGCGCAGUAAUGCGUUAAGCUAACCGAUACUAAUUGCUCGUGCGGCUUGACCU